This 253-nucleotide ribosomal RNA is filed under the name uncultured bacterium. RNAcentral's name for it is "partial 16S ribosomal RNA". It matches the Rfam family "Bacterial small subunit ribosomal RNA", at positions 524 to 776 of the family's 1533-position model. The record is from RNAcentral.
GACGUAGGGCGCGAGCGUUGUCCGGAUUUAUUGGGCGUAAAGAGCUCGUAGGCGGCUUGUUGCGUCGUCCGUGAAAACCCGCAGCUCAACUGCGGGCUUGCGGACGAUACGGGCAGGCUAGAGUUCGGUAGGGGAGACUGGAAUUCCUGGUGUAGCGGUGAAAUGCGCAGAUAUCAGGAGGAACACCGGUGGCGAAGGCGGGUCUCUGGGCCGAUACUGACGCUGAGGAGCGAAAGCGUGGGGAGCGAACAGG